AAUUGUUAAGGAAUAGCUUGGGAGGGUAUUGGAACGUGAGCUUCAUUUUAAAGCUCAUCCAUACACCAGAUUAGUCUCUGCUGAGAAAGGAGCCUCCCUCAUCAAGGUGGACUGAAGGUGGGGAUCAUUAUCUAAACAAAGAAUUUCCCACGGGACAGGGAGAAGGCCUGUCUGUGAGUGAGAAUUUAUGCAGAUGCCAGACAGAGUUAGAUUGCAACACCACCAGAAAGAGGGGAGGGGAUAAGUGUAGCUUUUUAAGUAGAGGAAUCUAAUAAUGCAACCAGUUUUUAGACAGUCACCUAGCAGAUGGGUCUGAUUUAUUGAGGAAAGUGAAAAUACUUCUUCUAAAACUCAAAGCCUUCUCCCUAACUUAAGAGGCAUGUUCUUGUUAUGUCUUCCCUAAAAUCAUGAGUUGUGACCAAAGAAGGCUUCUGCUAUUUUUCUGGAUGUUCUGUGCCUGACAUCAGGAUGAAAAAGAUGAGGAAGAGUCCUGUGUGCUCUUCUGUGUUUUGCUCAUUGAGUUUUAGUCCCUGGCCCCUCUAAUGAUAUUUACCUUCAAAUGGGUAAUAUUAGCACGAGAUAGCUAUGACAAACUGAACGAAUAAUUGUAAAGUCUGAUGUAUACAUAAAUGCAAUGUUUUGUUCACUAGGUAACAGGACCAGUCCUCUCCGCUGCAGUAACUAUGACAACCUAGAUUCUGUCAGUUCUGUUUUGGUUCAGAGUCCUGAGAAUAAGAUUUAGUUACAAGGGCUUCAAGUUCUCCUUCCAGACUAUCUCCAGGAGUGCUUUGUACAAGCAGCUCUGAGCUACAUCGCUUGCAAUUCGGAAGGAGAGUUUAUCUGCAAGGACAAUGACUGCUGGUGUCAGUGUGGCCCCAGGUUCCCAGAAUGCAACUGCCCCUCCAUGGACAUCCAAGCUGUGGAAGAGAAUCUUCUUCGAGUAACUGAAACCUGGGAAGUCUACAACAGCAACUUUGAGGAGUCAGAGAUUUUUCUUUGGUGAAGAUGUCAAUACUGUAGUGCAUGAAGACCAUUUUAUAAUGCAGUGAUAUCCAUGUUGUGAUCUUCACCUACUUACGGUUCCUGGAAAGCCCAUAUACCUGAUACUUGUAUUGUUUCUCAAAAGCAUCCUCCUGCUAGACAACACAACUAUUGAUGAAAGCAAUAAAAUAACAAAACUAUAAACAAGACUAAACAACGUGAGACUGAAUGUCUUUUAACAUUAUUAUAAAAUAUUUUAGAAAUUAUUACAAUAACAUUUAUCAAUUGUCUAAAAGUAGAACAGUAGACGGAGAACCCCAGAUCGAGAUUUACUUCUUGGAGGCUC
Molecule: non-coding RNA, 1327 nt
Organism: Oryctolagus cuniculus (rabbit)
Lineage: Eukaryota; Metazoa; Chordata; Mammalia; Lagomorpha; Leporidae
Source: RefSeq, a predicted model, not a curated record